AGUGCCCCAAAUACAGGCUUGAGCCGUCUGAUGAGAUUAAACCUCCUGAUGCUAUUAAUUUACUGUUUGGAUCGCUCAAGGGAUCAGUUAUAACUUAUUUGCAGACAAUUGAUGGUUGAAGUUGUCGUGGGAAGUAAAAGACAUAAGGCUAGAGUCCUGUGUGAUUUGGGCUCACGGAAGAGUUACAUAACCAAAACUUUGGCGAAGGAAUUAGAGUUAUCCCCGACAGGUAAGAUCUCCUUGCGUCAAGAACUCUUUGGAGGAAAAAGGAUUCCUGUUUCAUCUCAUAAUGAGUAUCGAAACCAUCUGAAAGGG
Molecule: long non-coding RNA, 315 nt
Filed under: Androctonus crassicauda
Lineage: Eukaryota; Metazoa; Arthropoda; Arachnida; Scorpiones; Buthidae
Source: RNAcentral